Molecule: ribosomal RNA, 1476 nt
Filed under: metagenome
Description: bacterial SSU rRNA
Rfam family: Bacterial small subunit ribosomal RNA
Source: RNAcentral
CGUGGAUGAGGCAUGCAAGUCGAACGGAUGAAGUAGAGCUUGCUCUAUGGAUUCAGUGGCGAAAGGGUUAGUAAUACAUGGGUAACCUACCUUUGACUCGGGAAUAACGGCUGGAAACGGUCGCUAAUACCGGAUGUGGUGGAAGUUGGACAUCCAAUUUCUAUUAAAGCGGGGGAUCGCAAGACCUCGCGGUCAAUGAAGGGCCCAUGAGAUAUCAGCUUGUUGGUGAGGUAGAGGCUCACCAAGGCUAAGACGUCUAGGCGGAUUGAGAGGUCGACCGCCAACACUGGGACUGAGACACUGCCCAGACUCCUACGGGAGGCUGCAGUCGAGAAUCAUUCACAAUGGGCGAAAGCCUGAUGAUGCGACGCCGUGUGAGCGAUGAAGGCCUUAGGGUUGUAAAGCUCUUUCGCCUGGGAACAAGGGAGGUCGAUUAAUACCCGGCCAACUUGAGGGUACCAGGUAAAGAAGCACCGGCUAACUCCGUGCCAGCAGCUGCGGUAAUACGGAGGGUGCGAGCAUUAAUCGGAUUUACUGGGCGUAAAGAGCGCGUAGGCGGGAAGAUAAGUCAGAUGUGAAAUCCCGGGACUCAACCCCGGAAUUGCAUCCGAAACUAUUUUUCUUGAGGGUAGGCGGAGAAAACGGAAUUCCACGUGUAGCGGUGAAAUGCGUAGAUACGUGGAGGAACACCGGUGGCGAAGGCGGUUUUCUAGCUUAUUCCUGACGCUAAGGCGCGAAAGCAAGGGGAGCAAACAGGAUUAGAUACCCUGGUAGUCCUUGCCGUAAACGAUGCACACUUGGUGUAGCUGGUCUCAACCCCAGCUUUGCCGGAGCUAACGCGUUAAGUGUGCCGCCUGGGGAGUACGCCCGCAAGGGUGAAACUCAAAAGAAUUGACGGGGACCCGCACAAGCAGUGGGGCAUGUGGUUUAAUUCGAUGCAACGCGAAGAACCUUACCCAGACUUGACAUAUAGUGGACCGCCUUGGAAACAAGGCUUCUCGUAGAGUCGCUAUACAGGUGCUGCAUGGCUGUCGUCAGCUCGUGCCGUGAGGUGUUGGGUUAAGUCCCGCAACGAGCGCAACCCUUAUCGUUAGUUGCCAGCAUUUCGGAUGGGAACUCUAACGAGACUGCCUAGGUUAACUAGGAGGAAGGUGAGGAUGACGUCAAGUCAGCAUGGCCCUUAUGUCUGGGGCUACACACGUGCUACAAUGGCCGGUACAGAAGGAAGCGAAACCGCGAGGUGAAGCAAAUCCAAAAAGCCGGUCUCAGUUCGGAUUGUAGUCUGCAACUCGACUACAUGAAGUGGGAAUUGCUAGUAAUGGCGCGUCAGCACAGCGCCGUGAAUACGUUCUCGGGUCUUGUACACACCGCCCGUCACAUCACGGGAGUUGGUUUUGCCCGAAGUCGCUGACUCAACCGCAAGGGGAGAGGCGCCGAAGGUGAGGCCGAUGACUGGGAUGAAGUCGAAACAAGGUA